RNAcentral lists this ribosomal RNA (480 nucleotides) under Triticum aestivum (bread wheat). Its description in RNAcentral is "partial small subunit ribosomal RNA". The record is from RNAcentral. Lineage: Eukaryota; Viridiplantae; Streptophyta; Magnoliopsida; Poales; Poaceae.
AUGGCCACCGCUGACGUCCAGAACCCAUCGGCCGCGCUGACGGAGGAGGCGCCCGCGGCGGAGACGCCAGUGGCCGCCGAGGAGGCCGCGAAGACGGAGGAGGUCCCCGCGCCGGCGGAGGCCGAAGUCGAGGCGCCUGCCCCCGUCGAGGUUGAGGAGACCAAGGAGGAGGCACCGGCAGCCGCUGAGACGGAGGAGACCAAGGAGCCCGAGCCAGCAGCUGCCGCCGAGCCGGAGGCCGAAGCGCCCAAAGAGCCAGAGGCGCCAGCCGUGGUCGAGACCAAGGAGGCUGUGGCAGAGGCAGAGCCGAGGAAACACCGGCUGCAGCGGAGGAGGCCCCAGCGGCCGCGGCAGAGGAGCCGGCCGCCGCCGUGGCCAGCGUCAGCGUGUGAGGCGCCGGCGCGCGCGGAGGAGGAGCUGGCUGGGUCAGCGUCCACGGCGGCGGUCAUGUGCUCCUACGUGGCACGGCGUGAUGCUUAG